Molecule: long non-coding RNA, 1667 nt
Organism: Labrus mixtus (cuckoo wrasse)
Lineage: Eukaryota; Metazoa; Chordata; Actinopteri; Labriformes; Labridae
Exons: 2
Source: RefSeq, a predicted model, not a curated record
GGAGACUGUAUGUGUGAAUAGGCUCCUUUAAUGCAGGAGUCAGCCAGGUCUGCAGAGUAAUUAUUCGAUUUGGCAGUGUGUUGCUGGCGGUGCAGAGUAUUUCCUGGACGGUGUGAUAAGUUGUGAAAGGAGCUGGCUGCAGGGAGCGUCAGGCUGAACGUGUUGGACAGGAACAAUGUGCUGCUCUGGCUCUGACUCCCCCCCUCUCUCUCUAUACAUGUCUGACCUCUCCUCUUCCCUGCGUGUUGUUUCUUCUGUUGUCUCUGUAUUUUUGGGAUGUGUUGAGUCUCGGGGGUGUGCAGUGUUCGGUCUGGAUGUUUAAACCUGCAGAGAGAAUGAAGUGAUGAAGACACAAACAUUCACUGUAGGCCUAAAAGGACAAAGGCAUCCUCACCACAUACUGCAGCUUACUUUGAUCUGACUGUUUCCUGUAUGUGUAGAGAACUGAAGUUGUGUGUUUGUGUCAAUGUGAGUUUGAUAAAUGCAGAGACAUUUAAACUUCAGGAAGACGUUUCAGUGUUCUUUUAACGAUGACGCUGUGUGACAGCUAGUCCGACUAAAAUGACCCAGAAAGGUAUUAAAUGGAAAAGUGAGGUCUUACUGAAACCAUGAAUGUAUGUUUGUGCCUGUUUGUUUAGAAAACAUAAAAAAUCACUCGAGUGUUUGAAAUAUUCAGGAGGAAGGUUCGGCUUAUAUCCCUUUUGUUAGGAGAAAAUGUUCAUGAUGCUACAAACUGUAGAAAACCGGAAGAGACAGGAAAAAAAGAUUGGGUUCCAAGAUCGUCUUAAAGCACCAAUCAGUGAGAUGUGUAGUGAGUGAAAUGAUAAAGUGACCUCACUAUAUGAUCAGACAUUAAGGAAACAUGCUAUGUUGAAGUGCUGGCUUCUCUGACAACAAUGCAGCAGCCAGUAUGUCCUCCUUCUAACUUUAGAUUCUGCUCCUGAAUGCUCUGGAUUUGUUUGGACCAGAGAAGGUAGGCGGUUUUAAGGCGACCCCCACACGGCCGUUUUGGACGCCCCUGUGUUUGUCAGAUAUGAGAGCAGUUAUCAGGUCAAACCAACAGGUGUUGCAGUGAUGGAAGCGGGCAAGAGAAGUGGUUCAGAUAGAAGUGAUUGUACCCGACCUAAAAAGCCUCUGCAUGUUUCUAAUAAGCUCCACGAGCAGAAACGUGCUCAAACUAGGAUCAAUGUUGGAGAUGCUUUUUGAAAAAUGGAGAGAGGUUAGAACGCACACACUGAUGGUAGAUGCUGCUGUGUAAAGAGUUCAUUCACACUCAUUCACAUGCCGCAGACGAAGCAGCAGGCGGUUAAGUGUCUUGCCAGAGAACAUAUCGGACAUGUGGCUGCAGCAGCUGGGGCCCUGAUCUUCCAGUUGGGAGAUGACCGACUCUACCACUGAGCCACAGCCGCCCCCAAAUACAUCCCACCAUCGCCGUGUUCACUAACCAAGAACCCAAGCUGGAGCUGCUCAGGGCUACGUCGACUAGAAGUCUUACCUGGCUGUCUCCACCAGCGAGCAGCUUCUCCGUGUUUCCGUCUCAUCACGUCUGGAUUAGUGUUUCAAACUCUCACUUUUCCCAGGAUGCUGCAGAAUAUUGGUUUUGCCACUUUUUGAAAUUGUUUUCCUCGGGUUAUAAAAUAAAAUAAAAAACGCUUUGACACUGACAA